UUUAUUGGAGAGUUUGAUCCUGGCUCAGGAUGAACGCUGGCGGCGUGCCUAAUACAUGCAAGUCGAGCGAACGGAUUAAGAGCUUGCUCUUAUGAAGUUAGCGGCGGACGGGUGAGUAACACGUGGGUAACCUGCCCAUAAGACUGGGAUAACUCCGGGAAACCGGGGCUAAUACCGGAUAACAUUUUGAACCGCAUGGUUCGAAAUUGAAAGGCGGCUUCGGCUGUCACUUAUGGAUGGACCCGCGUCGCAUUAGCUAGUUGGUGAGGUAACGGCUCACCAAGGCAACGAUGCGUAGCCGACCUGAGAGGGUGAUCGGCCACACUGGGACUGAGACACGGCCCAGACUCCUACGGGAGGCAGCAGUAGGGAAUCUUCCGCAAUGGACGAAAGUCUGACGGAGCAACGCCGCGUGAGUGAUGAAGGCUUUCGGGUCGUAAAACUCUGUUGUUAGGGAAGAACAAGUGCUAGUUGAAUAAGCUGGCACCUUGACGGUACCUAACCAGAAAGCCACGGCUAACUACGUGCCAGCAGCC
This 536-nucleotide ribosomal RNA is filed under the name Bacillus cereus. RNAcentral describes it as "bacterial SSU rRNA". It matches the Rfam family "Bacterial small subunit ribosomal RNA", at positions 1 to 516 of the family's 1533-position model. Lineage: Bacteria; Bacillati; Bacillota; Bacilli; Caryophanales; Bacillaceae. The record is from RNAcentral.